AUAAAAACCUGCUGAAUUGCUCUUUGCUAUAUAUGACAUGCAUUGUAUCUCCUUAAGUUCCACAGAAUAUAUAAAGUCUUCAGUUGGAAGCACUGUGCUGUUCUGGUUUGGGACCUUCCACUGUUAAUCCUGUAAAGCCAAUUCGUUACACAAACUGAUUUUAGCAGGCUACGAGCCUGUUGUCCUAGUCUCUAUUCACGGCAAUUGAACAGGGGAUAGAUAGCAAAUCAGUUGCUACCUUGUGUACUAAGUCCCAUGCAAUCAAGAACAACACCUUCUUAUGCUUGGCACUGUAUAAACAAGUAAAACAAGAACAAUCCUGACCUAAUGCAUUCAGUUUGUACCCAGGCACUCAGGGCAGUUAUCUCUCCACUACAGCCUUUAUCCUGGACCUUGUGUUAGCAGUCAACAGGCUCAUCUCAAAAUAUCUGCAUUUAACUGUCACGAUGCAAAAUCCAUACCACUGAUUUGCAAGAACAAUAGUGCUCUAGCAUCAGUGAAGAGAGGCAUUUUUCUUUAGGCUGCUCCAUUUUGAAGUUUGCAUGAAUUGACAUGAAAUCAACACUGGCUUUUGCCAUUUAACACUGGGCUCUGCCUCUCAAGAGUCCAGGAAACAUCAUUACAGAGUGGUCCAGUUCUCAGCAGGGAGUAUAGAUGCUUUGGUGUGUUCAGAGACAAAAAGCUUGUUUAAUGGGACUGCUGUUCAUAGGAUCACACUUGGAAGAAAAUGUGCUCGAUUAGCACAUGUUCAGCUUGGCUUUUCAGGCUUGUGCUGUGUAUUUGUUUUUAUCUCAAGGAAAGAAAAUGUCUGAUUCUUUUCUCGGUCACUCCAGUGUAGAUCAGCAUUAACUCCCCUGAACUCCAUGGAGUGAAACUGUAGACAAGAGAAAUGGCUCGCCUAGGGAGAGAGAAAAUUUGUCAUCUUGCAAUUCUGCUCCAUAGGUGUUUCUGCUGUUCCAGAUGUCUUGAACAAAGCCCCUGGUGAAACAGAUGACUUGAGCACCAUGUUUGAAGUCUGUUGAAACCCAGUGAGCCCUUGUUACACGUUUCCCUGUUCACUGCCACCAUGUACCCUAGACCCCACGCUUCUGUAUGUAAACCAAGCAGCGAUGUUUGCCUCAACAGUUUACCAUGAGCAGCAUCUCAGUUUUAUGUCACAAGUGGCAGAGCUUGGGAAAACACUGCCGUUUGCUUACUUCAAGAGAAGGCUGUCCAGAAGCAAGGAAGAUCAACAUCCAGGUGGGGUGGCUGCUGUCUGCAGCAUCACUCCUUCAUCACCAAAUGCUUCAGGGGUUAUCCAUGUGUAUUGCUUUUGCUCCGGCUGUUCAUACGAACCUCCUGAGGAUGGCCCGGGGUAGCCGCAAGUGACCACAACAUGGAACCACGUUGGAGGAUCUUCACAGGCGCUGCACACCAGCACAUCUCUGAAAGUGUGAUCCACUCCCAGAACCAUUGUGGAUCUGGAAGAAGAAACUUCUUUUCAUUUCACUGAAGGUGAGGAACCCUCCUUAUGCCCCCUGACAAAACCAUUCCAUUCCCAUUGAAAUUAUAUAGAAAUGAGCCCAUUGACUUCACAGGGAGUUGGAUCAAGCUUCCUGUGAUCAAGGACAAUAUGGCACUAAUACGUCAUGCACUAUAAUGGUGAGAUUUAAUGAUGUUGGACGGCAGUUUACUGAAACGAACUUUAGGUAAUGACCCAAGACACAACAGUUUGGAAGCAAGGGAAGAGAAAAAGGAAACCAAGCAUACCAUGCAGUAGAUGAAUUUAACAAUAGCUAGUAUACUUGCAUCUGACAUCAGUGUCUUGGCUCAGUAGCCAGGGAUAUCAUAAAAUCGCCAUGUACAAUUAGGCACAAUCUGCGAUCUGUAUUUCAUUUGAAAGCCAGAACUAACACACCAUGGUUACUACAUUUAUUCUCGAGCUAGAGAGAGCAUGGUCUUUCCAAGUCACGGUUGAAGCUGCUGUCUUGUGAUGGGAAAAAUCUUCUGUUUUCUGACUAAUUUUUAUAAUGUUCCCUGCACCGAGUAAAUUAGUUAGAUUUACUUUACUUAUGGCAUUAGCUUUGGGGGAAAGACACAAAACAAAAGAAUAAAAAAAAUUAUACAUGCAGAAAAAUGCAUAACAUGGGAGCUAAAGCUAUAAAUCCGAUCACCCUGCAUAUCUGGACAUGUUUGUUUGUAUUCAUUGAGGGGAAAAAAUGAAAUAAAUCACGUUUUCAAUUGA
This is a long non-coding RNA of Gavialis gangeticus (Gharial), 2224 nucleotides long. RefSeq lists it as uncharacterized. The record is from RefSeq and is a predicted model, not a curated record. Lineage: Eukaryota; Metazoa; Chordata; Crocodylia; Gavialidae. The transcript has 2 exons.